RNAcentral lists this transfer RNA (67 nucleotides) under chicken gut metagenome. It matches the Rfam family "tRNA". Rfam says of the family: Transfer RNA (tRNA) molecules are approximately 80 nucleotides in length. Their secondary structure includes four short double-helical elements and three loops (D, anti-codon, and T loops). The record is from RNAcentral.
AAAGUAGCUCAGUUGGUAGAGCACUUCACUCGUAAUGAAGGGGUCGUGGGUUCAAGUCCCAUCUUUA